This 786-nucleotide ribosomal RNA is filed under the name uncultured eukaryote. RNAcentral's name for it is "SSU rRNA". It matches the Rfam family "Eukaryotic small subunit ribosomal RNA", at positions 21 to 838 of the family's 1831-position model. The record is from RNAcentral.
GGUAUAUGCUUGUCUCAAAGACUAAGCCAUGCAAGUCUAAGUAUAAGUUAUUCUGAAGACGAAACUGCGAAUGGCUCGGUAAAACAGCAAUAAUUUCUUCGGUGAUGAGUUUACUCACGGAUAACCGUAGUAAUUCUAGAGCUAAUACGUGCUGAGAAAAGGUGGGGCUCACGCUCCAUCGUGCCGUUUAGAUAACAACACCAACAUUUGGUGAUUCAUAAUCGUCUUUCUGAUCGCCUCGUGUGACGCACCGUUCAAAUUUCUGACCUAUCAACUUUCGAUGGUAAGGUAGUGUCUUACCAUGGUGGCAACGGGUAACGGACCGUGGGUGCGGGACUCCGGAGAGGGAGCCUGAGAAACGGCUACCACAUCCAAGGAAGGCAGCAGGCGCGCAACUUGCCCAAUCCAGACUCUGGGAGGCAGUGACAAGAAAUAUCAAUAGGGGAUCCUAUGGGUCUUCUAAUUGGAACGAGAACAAGCUAAACAGCUUACCGAGAAUCCAGCAGAGGGCAAGUCUGGUGCCAGCAGCCGCGGUAAUUCCAGCUCUGUAAGCGUAUACCAAAGUUGUUGCAGUUAAAACGCUCGUAGUCGGAAUUUGGCAGUUCCGGAAGUGUGCACGUCGUGUGCGCACUUUGCAGGACUGCUUUUGUGGUCUUGCGUAGGAUGAGGCACUUUUAUUAGUGAACGUCCUCACGCAACACUCUUUACUGUGAGAAAAUCAGAGUGCUCAAGCAAGCAUUGCCGUGAUGUAUUAGCAUGGAGUAAUAGAAAUAGGACUUCGGUCUA